CUCCCCCUAGGCGACGAUUCCUUAGCUUGUUUGAGAGGAUGACCCAGCCCCCCUGGAACUGAGACACCGUUCCAGACUCCUACGGGAGGCAGCAGUGGGGGAAUAUUGCACAAUGGGCGCAAGCCUGAUGCAGCCAUGCCGCGUGUAUGAAGAAGGCCUUCGGGUUGUAAAGUACUUUCAGUGGGGAGGAAGGCAGUGAAGUUAAUAGCUUCGCUGAUUGACGUUACCCGCAGAAGAAGCACCGGCUAACUCCGUGCCAGCAGCCGCGGUAAUACGGAGGGUGCAAGCGUUAAUCGGAAUUACUGGGCGUAAAGCGCACGCAGGCGGUCUGUCAAGUCGGAUGUGAAAUCCCCGGGCUCAACCUGGGAACUGCAUUCGAAACUGGCAGACUAGAGUCUUGUAGAGGGGGGUAGAAUUCCAGGUGUAGCGGUGAAAUGCGUAGAGAUCUGGAGGAAUACCGGUGGCGAAGGCGGCCCCCUGGACAAAGACUGACGCUCAGGUGCGAAAGCGUGGGGAGCAGACAGGAUUAGAUACCCUGGUAGUCCACGCCGUAAACGAUGUCGACUUGGAGGUUGUGCCCUUGAGGCGUGGCUUCCGGAGCUAACGCGUUAAGUCGACCGCCUGGGAGACGCCGC
Molecule: ribosomal RNA, 635 nt
Filed under: uncultured bacterium
Lineage: Bacteria
Description: bacterial SSU rRNA
Rfam family: Bacterial small subunit ribosomal RNA
Source: RNAcentral